This 443-nucleotide ribosomal RNA is filed under the name uncultured bacterium. RNAcentral's name for it is "partial 16S ribosomal RNA". It matches the Rfam family "Bacterial small subunit ribosomal RNA", at positions 338 to 795 of the family's 1533-position model. The record is from RNAcentral.
CCUACGGGUGGCAGCAGUGGGGAAUAUUGGGCAAUGGGCGCAAGCCUGACCCAGCAACGCCGCGUGAAGGAAGAAGGCUUUCGGGUUGUAAACUUCUUUUCUCAGGGACGAAGAAAGUGACGGUACCUGAGGAAUAAGCCGCGGCUAACUACGUGCCAGCAGCCGCGGUAAUACGUCGGUGGCACGCGUUAUACGGAUAUGUUUGGUGUAAAGGGCGAGUAGGCGGGAGUGUAAGUCAGAUGUGAAAACUCCGGGGCUAAACCUGAGCAUGCAUUUGAAACUGGGUGGCUUGAGUGCUGGAGAGGCAAUCGGAAUUCCGUGUGAAGCGGUGAAAUGCGUAGAUAUACGGAGGAACACCAGUGGCGAAGGCGGAUUGCUGGAUAGAAACUGACGCUGAGGCGCGAAAGCGUGGGGAGCAAACAGGAUUAGAUACCCCGGUAGUC